CUGUCUCGGCCUCCCAAGUAGCUGGGACUACAGGCAUGCGCCACCACACCCGGCUAAUUUUUGUAUUUUUAGUAGAGACGGGGUUUCUCCAUGUUGGUCAGGCUGGUUGUGAACUCCCGACCUCAGGUGAUCCGCCUGCCUUGGCCUCCCAAACUGCUGGGAUUACAGGUGUGAGCCACCGCACCCGGCCCAAACUCUUAAAUCUUUCAACAAGCAGCCCCACGCUUUUAUUAUGCAUUGGGCCCCCAAAAUUAUGUAUGCAGUGUUGUCUGAGUGUUUGCAUGUUCAAGAACACUGUUAUUUUGUUCUCACUCUUAAAGAUAGUAAACAGAAUAUAGAAUUCUAAAUUCAAAAUCAUCUUCCUUCAUAAAAAUUUAGCACUUUGGAGAUAGUUCCCAUUUGGAAGAUAAACCAUUGAGUGCCAGUCUGUUGAAACUUUCUAUGUCUCCUCUGGCAAUAUGUAGAAUUUUCACCUUAGCUUUAGCGAACGAUCCUUGGAAUUCUUAGGAGGUUGAAAUUAUACUAGGUGAUAUCUGUGUGUGAACUUUCUCCCACUAUUGUUGCUCACCACCUGGGGCCACAAGGAAAUUCACUUUAAAAAAAAUGGAUUAGGGCCGGGCGCAGUGGCUCACGCCUGUAAUCCCAGCACUUUGGGAGGCCGAGGCAGGUGGAUCACGAGGUCAGGAGAUCGAGACCAUCCUGGCCAACAUGGUGAAACCCCGUCUCUACUAAAA
RNAcentral lists this long non-coding RNA (734 nucleotides) under Homo sapiens (human). RNAcentral describes it as "HSALNT0311506". The record is from RNAcentral. Lineage: Eukaryota; Metazoa; Chordata; Mammalia; Primates; Hominidae.